Molecule: transfer RNA, 70 nt
Filed under: Loxodonta africana (African savanna elephant)
Lineage: Eukaryota; Metazoa; Chordata; Mammalia; Proboscidea; Elephantidae
Rfam family: tRNA
About the family: Transfer RNA (tRNA) molecules are approximately 80 nucleotides in length. Their secondary structure includes four short double-helical elements and three loops (D, anti-codon, and T loops). Further hydrogen bonds mediate the characteristic L-shaped molecular structure. tRNAs have two regions of fundamental functional importance: the anti-codon, which is responsible for specific mRNA codon recognition, and the 3' end, to which the tRNAs corresponding amino acid is attached (by aminoacyl-tRNA synthetases). tRNAs cope with the degeneracy of the genetic code in two manners: having more than one tRNA (with a specific anti-codon) for a particular amino acid; and 'wobble' base-pairing, i.e. permitting non-standard base-pairing at the 3rd anti-codon position.
Source: Rfam by way of RNAcentral
GCAUUGGUGGUUCCGUGGUGGAAUUCUCGCCUUCCAUGUGGGAGACCUGAGUUCAAUUCCAGUCAACGCA